Molecule: transfer RNA, 78 nt
Filed under: Vibrio vulnificus
Lineage: Bacteria; Pseudomonadati; Pseudomonadota; Gammaproteobacteria; Vibrionales; Vibrionaceae
Description: tRNA-Thr
Rfam family: tRNA
About the family: Transfer RNA (tRNA) molecules are approximately 80 nucleotides in length. Their secondary structure includes four short double-helical elements and three loops (D, anti-codon, and T loops). Further hydrogen bonds mediate the characteristic L-shaped molecular structure. tRNAs have two regions of fundamental functional importance: the anti-codon, which is responsible for specific mRNA codon recognition, and the 3' end, to which the tRNAs corresponding amino acid is attached (by aminoacyl-tRNA synthetases). tRNAs cope with the degeneracy of the genetic code in two manners: having more than one tRNA (with a specific anti-codon) for a particular amino acid; and 'wobble' base-pairing, i.e. permitting non-standard base-pairing at the 3rd anti-codon position.
Source: RNAcentral
GCCGGAUUAGCUCAGUUUUGGAAGAGCAAUCGCCUUGUAAGCGAUGGGUCAUCGGUUCGAUUCCGUUAUCCGGCUCCA